RNAcentral lists this transfer RNA (76 nucleotides) under Streptomyces noursei. RNAcentral describes it as "tRNA-Ala". It matches the Rfam family "tRNA". From Rfam's summary of the family: Transfer RNA (tRNA) molecules are approximately 80 nucleotides in length. Their secondary structure includes four short double-helical elements and three loops (D, anti-codon, and T loops). Lineage: Bacteria; Bacillati; Actinomycetota; Actinomycetes; Kitasatosporales; Streptomycetaceae. The record is from RNAcentral. RNAcentral also lists the same sequence under 6 other names.
GGGCCUGUGGCGCAGCUGGUAGCGCACCUCGUUCGCAACGAGGGGGUCAGGGGUUCGAGUCCCCUCAGGUCCACCG